UGGAACUGGCCUCCAAAUGUGAUGUUCUAGUUGUUGCAUGCGCACUUACUGAAGAAACCCGCCAUAUUAUCAAUCGUGAAGUCAUUGAUGCUUUGGGGCCAAAGGGUGUUCUCAUUAACAUUGGAAGGGGUCAUCAUGUUGAUGAGCCUGAGUUGGUAUCUGCACUGCUAGAAGGCCGAUUAGGUGGUGCUGGCCUUGAUGUGUAUCAAAAUGAACCAGAAGUGCCAGAGCAGUUGUUUGGGCUUGAAAAUGUGGUGCUCUUGCCUCAUGCAGGAAGUGGCACUACAGAAACUCGUUGUGCAAUGGCUGACCUUGUUAUUGCGAAUCUUGAGGCUCACUUUUUGAACAAACCAUUGCUGACACCUGUGGUUUAACAGUUUGAGCAUCCAUAUAUAUAAAGUCCAAUGGAGGCAUCGUCUUGUUCUGGCACUACUGUAUUUAAUAGCUAAGAUGAUUGUUUCAGAUUGGCUAACAUGUUGAAACAGCUGAAUAAUACUAGUCCAUUAUUGAAAUAACCUCCUGGCAUCUUAAAAGUUAAAAUACAUGCUUGGUUCUUGGAGUGAUCGGUUUGCAUUACAUCCACACUCAUCCAUCUGUUUCAAUAUAGUGCAGCAGGAGGCGCUUUUAGAUUCUAUUGGAAUUCCAGUCUUGAAACUAUUUCUGAAGUAUUGGGCAUUUUCUGGCGUCCAAGCUUUGAGUGCAAGACUGCAAGGUUUAGUGAUUGGUUGCAUUGCACCCAUUCAUCCAUCUAUUUCAAAGCUAACAAACUUAUAAUUUGAUGAGCUAAGGUACCUAUCAUUUGUAGGGAGUGGUUUCAUAUGGACGUUUCAAUGAUUUGAUGUCAUGUGGACAUUUGAAUGAUUUGAUGUAAGAGUCGUCUAACUAUGAAUAAAUUUUUUAAAAGAACAAAAAAAAAGCAGCAAUUCUCUUGGACCACCACAAAACACAACCUCCAUUUCUUGCUAGUCACACUCCAUACAUUUUGGAGGAGCCAAACCCCAAAAGCAACCCAAACCCUAUGAGAAUCCCCCCAGCAAUGGAGUCCAUAUGUGUCCUCCUACCAAUCCCAAUGUCCCCUUACUUAGAACAAGAGCUCGAGAAGCGCUUCAACCUCUUGAAGCUUUGGACCGCUCCCCACAAGACCCAGUUCAUCAAGGACCACGCCGCCUCCAUCCGCGCCAUCGUCGGCAACGCCUCCGCCGGCGCCGACGCCGAGUUGAUCGACUCUCUGCCCAAGUUGGAGAUCGUCGCCAGUUACAGCGUUGGGAUUGACAAGGUCGACUUGAAGUACUGCAAGGAAAAGGGUGUGAGGGUCACUAACACCCCCGACGUGUUGACCGAUGACGUGGCCGACAUUGCUAUUGGGUUGACGCUGGCGGUGAUGCGCCGGCUUUGCGAGAGUGACCGGUAUGUCAGGAGUGGGCUGUGGAAGAAGGGUGACUUCAAGUUGACCACAAAGGUUACAUUUUCUCUUUUCUUGAUCACUGUUUUAUUGGUUGUGAACUUUUGGAUAUUGUCACUUUGCUUCAAAUCAGUAGUCAGGGGUAGGAAUAGUGUUUGUGCAAAAUAGUUGUGGGUCAAUGUUGCUCACCGAAGAUAUCUGCAUUGCUCAUACCAAUAUGUGUGUUACUAGGCUUUUCAUUUUCGUCCAUGAACUAUAACUGUUCUGAUGUUAGGAUGAUAUCAACCCAGCAGGCAGCAAGAAAUAUGAUAGUGUUGGUUGAUAUAGGGGUCUAUGAUGUACAUUUGAUUUGUGAAGAAAUCCUGGGUUUGUUUGGACUUUGGAGUGGAUUCUGCAUUGCUUUGUGUAAUGUAUGAAAAGGAGAAUGCAAAGUAGUUUUAGUGGGAACCAAGUUCUUGAAAUUACAUGCUAUGGUUGGUGCUUGUUUCUCUGUAUCCUGUGAAAAGGGGAUUGGUAUAGGUUGAACUGGGCAUUUCUCUUAUCAUUGUACUCUUCUGGUGCUGUUUUGUGUCGUUGCUACUGUUGUGGAUUUUUGAGUGCUCAAGCGUUGGUGAAGUUACCUCUGCAUUUCUACCUUUCAUGUAAAAUAAUGUGCCUAUUUGGAUUUAGGACUUUGGAGUUUUUCUUUUAGCUUCGUUUGUGCUAUAUAGCCAUGUAAAGCAAUUAGAACCAUAAGAUGGCAAGUCUUUACGAUUACGAUUUCUAGAUGCUCUAGGUGUUCUUAAGGUAUUUGUUUGUAAAAUAUUUCUGGUAGAUAUUAGUGUGAUUUAUUGAUAGUUUCAAAUUACUUGUCUAUGAUUAUGACGGCCAGUUGAAUAUUUGAACUGGAGAUAGUCGUAGCUUUAAUAUGAAAUGUGAAGUUCUUCAAAUGGCAGCAGGAAAAAAAAAAACAUAUAUAGUUUUGUUUUACCUUUUAGUCUUCCUGGUAUAGAUUGUUACCCCUUUUCUAAUAGUUUUCUUUUCGUUUCAGUUCACUGGACAAACAGUUGGUAUUCUCGGUUUGGGAAGAAUUGGCAAAGCAGUUGCCAGGAGAGCUGAGGCUUUCAGCUGCCCCAUUGCCUACUCUUCCAGAACAGAAAAACCAGAAUUGAAAUACAAGUAUUAUCCGACUGUUGUGGAAUUGGCUUCCAAAUGUGAUGUUCUAGUUGUUGCGUGCGCACUUACUGAAGAGACCCGCUACAUUAUCAAUCGUGAAGUCAUUGAUGCUUUGGGGCCAAAGGGUGUUCUCAUUAACAUUGGGAGGGGUCAUCAUAUUGAUGAGCCUGAGUUGUUAUCUGCACUGCUAGAAGGCCGAUUAGGUGGAGCUGGCCUCGAUGUGUAUCAGAAUGAACCAGAAGUACCGGAGCAGCUGUUUGGGCUUGAAAAUGUGGUGCUCUUGCCUCACGCAGGAAGUGACACUACAGAAACUUGCAAUGCAAUGGCUGACCUUGUUAUUGGGAAUCUUGAGGCUCACUUCUUGAACAAACCAUUGUUAACACCUGUGGUUUAACAGUUUGAGCAUCUGUAUAUAAAGCCCAUGGGAGGUAUCAUUUUGUGUUUCCUUGUAUAAUUUUGUGUUAACCACUUUAUACUAUAUCGAUUUUCCUUUCUUCCGACUUCAUUUGCCUUUUUUUUUUUUUUUUUCCCUUUCUCAUGGCAUGUUGCAUUACAUUUGUGCAGUCAUCUUUUCGUAGCUUCGACUCCUAUGCCGGUAUUGCCCCGAUGGAUGUAGAGAAGUUUGUUCUAUUUUCUUUUUUGGUUGGCUUAAUACAAUAAAAAUCUGCAGCCAUCAUAUAGUGAUACCAACUAUUAAACUAUACCCGGUUAUUAAGAGAAUUAUAUAGCAGAAUAAACACUACGGUGUUAGUGUCAAACCAGUUAUCCCCUUUUGACUUAAAAAAACAUGGAUGGAUUUGCAACAAUUCAAAUUACCCAGAACUUUCUGUUAUUUUAUUUUUUAUUUUUAUUUUUUUAUAAAAUACUGACAAAAGAUUAGGUGAUAUCAGCUCCUCUGUAGCAGUCUGGUGAGUGACAGAGCACCCACUCUACCCUAAAGGAGACCGCUACAACCGGGAACCCACCGCCCGUCCCUUAUCAGAAAUUUUAUUUAAAAUAAUAAAAGAAAUUACGUGAAAAGAGGAAUGGGGGACUAGGCCAAACCAUUCCAAUUACAAACCAAAACAACAUACAAAAAGACAUUGUUUCUUCUACCCAUAAAAAACCAAGCAAUCUUCCCACUAUGAAAACUGAUAAUUAAGGAUACCCAAAUAAUCCGCUUGCAAGAAACCAUGAAGCUCAGUAGGAGGAUUAUCAUACCAAGUAAAUGAAGCAUUUGACAACCCCAAGUUUGCCAUCUUGUCAGCUACCAUAUUUCCUUCUCUAAAAAUAUGACUGUAACGGAAGUUCAUUUGACGAAUUAUAGAAAGACAGUUAUUCCAACGAACUCUUAAGUUCCACGGAGGAGAAAAAAACCUGGAAGAGAAGCAAGCUACCACACUAACAGAGUCACUUUCCAACCAUAAGUAGACCCACCCUUUAUCGUGAGCAAUUUCAAUUGCCAAGAUAACAUCAUAAAGUUCAGAAUAACAGGAAGUCCAUCCAAGCGAAUGACAAAAACUCCCUAAAAACCCACCUGAGGCAUCACGAAACACACCCCCACAAGCUGCUGGACCUGGAUUGCCUUUUGUUAAACCGUCUGUGUUAACUUUGAUCUAAGGAAAAAACCAAGGCUGCCAUAAGACAUGUUGAAUUCUAGGAGCCUUACUACCUUUAGGAGCAACUCCAAGAGAGGCCAAUAAACAGGCAUCAAAAACACCCUUAUAGUGACCAGGAGCAAAAAUGCCAAUUUGACGAAUCCAUGCCAUAAUAGAGCAACACAUUGUAUAGAAAUUUGGGGAUCGAUUAUCAAACCUUAGCUUAUUCCGAGCCUUCCAUAGAGCCAUGAAAGUAAACAUGCUAGCUGCUAGCCACAAAUUAAAAAGCUGCGAGGAGAAAGGCUUUCGAUAGUAGCUCUUCCAAAAAUCUAUCAGGGAGUUGAAAGAAGAUAAAGAAGUGCCAAAUUGAACAGCUAACCAUCUCCAGACCCGUUGGGAAAAAGGGCAUUGUAAAAAUAAAUGCAAUGAUGUCUCACCAGAACAAUAACAUAACUGACAGAUAGUCACAACAGGAAUUCCGCUAAUUUUCACUCUAUCAUCAGUUGGAAGCCGAUCAAAAAGAAUUCUCCAGACAAAAAAAGAGUAACGAGGUGGGAUGAAUGAUCGCCAUACAUUACAAGCCCAAUCUUUGACAGUGUUAUGGUGUUUCAGAAAUUCAUACCCAAUAGAAAAAGUCAACUCACCGGAGGUAGAGGGCUCCCAAAUAAACAUAUCUGACUCAUCAAUAAGAGGGAGUGCCAAAUCUGAAAUCUGCCUAGCCAAGAGCGGAAAAGUUUGGCAAAAGAAGGGAGGAAGCUGCCAUGAACGAUGAGAAAUAUAAAAUCUACGACAUGAAGAUUGCUGAAAUAAGACCAAUUUGAAAUACCCAAAGUCUCCAAAAUAGGAGCUUGAAGCCAUUUAUCCUUCCAAAAACACACAGUUUUACCAUCUCCAAUUAACCAUCGACAAUUUUGUCUAAAACCAGAACCAACCGACCGAAAACCUGGCCAAAUUGAGGAUUUGCGAUAGCCCAGCUUGCAGGCAGAUAGAAUAGGAUACCUGACUGAGAGAAUGAAGAGAUUACUAAAGUAUCACUAGUGAUUUUUACUGCCUUGUUCUCUUUAAACUUGGCCUCCGGAGUCCGGACACACCAAACACAAGCAAGAGAACUAGUACAUGAAACAUUUACAAUAAAUAGACCCUCAUUGUUGUUUUAGUCUAUCCAGCCUUUUUGUGAGAAUAUUGCCUGAAUGUGGAGAAUCAUGGAAUGUAUUUCAAAGAGUUUUGAGUUCCAACUCACCGGAAAAUCUCAAGACAAAGACAUGCACUGUCCAGUUCCAUUUCAGCAAUAUAUGUUUCAUUUUGAUAACAGCUAAGUCAUCUUGUUUGAGGUUUAUUAAUCCUCAUCUUUGAAUAACUUGCUGUUAGAAUGGUCGUUAUUCACACUGUGUUUGAUGAAAUUUUGUAAGAAUGAUCUACACAUUGUGUUUUAGACAUUGUACGGUUGAGACAUAGAAAUACAACCUGAAAGUGAGCCAAAUAAGGAGUCAUGCUCUUUAAUUUCAAAGCGGGAUCCCACUCUGGAAAGGGACCACACACACACACUAUCAUAGCAAAUAAAAACUAUACAUACAUUUUGUCUUGCCUUAACUUUUUUUUGGUUACAAAAUGAUGGCUGGGAGAGCUACCAUUCUGGAACCGGAGCAAUUUUAGGUGGCCUCUCCUCAAAUGAUGUUUUUCACAAAUUAGGGUUCGAACCAAAGACCUCCUAUUAUCAGAGAAUCUUUACAGCUUCUGCCUCAUUUGUAGCCUAACAUGCUUCCACUAGACCGACUAACCUCGUUGGGUGUCUUGUCUAAACUUUACUUACAUGUUUGGUUUGCUCAUUAUCUCCGUGGAAUGUAUCAAAAUGAUAAAGCAUAAGCAUGCCCAUCUGUACAUGCAUCUCCUCUUGAUGGCUAAAUAACAUUUUUCCUCCUGUGUGUCCUUCUUAUAGUUGUGCAAGAUAGAGUAGUAAAGUCUACAAGAUUCCAUAUAAGUAAAUAUAGGAUAAAGUAUACUUGUUAAAUUUAAAAUAUUCGAUAUAUAGAUUAUGAGUACAUGAUGCAUAUUGAGUUUGUGUUUUGAGAUGAAAAUGGGAAUCCGUUAAUAGUUGCUAUGAGCGUAUUGAAGAUACUUCGGUGUCUAUGGGUGAAACUACUAGCUUUAAAGAGUCAUUACACACAACGUGGUUAUAACAAUUCUCUCAUGCAGUGGUGGAAGGUGACUCAAAAAGCUUCUUAUAUACAAUCUGAAUGGAAAAACUAUGGCACCCUAAUGCAUUCAAUCUUUAAUCCAAGAUAUCUAGUGGCUAGCAUCUCAUUUUCAAGUUGUGUACUUUCGACAUAUUCACCAUGAAGCUAACUUUGUGACAGACCGUCUAGUCUCCGUGAGAAUUGCAUCGUCGACUCUUGUAGUUUAGUUUUACUGCUUACCUUUUUUUACUGCUUAAAUUUUUAUUGUUCUGAAAGAUUCCUCUGUUCUUAUAUAAUCAAUAAUUCAGCCGAGCUUUAAUCCCUUUUAUCCUACACGGCCGACGGCGACAUUUGCAUUUGUCGUUUCUCGCUGAUCACCACAAACACACCUACCAUUUUUAGUCAGAGUCUCUCUGCCACUUCACAAUAAACUCCACCUUCACAAAUCACAGCCUCUCCAAACCUUUGGGAGUCGCUGCAAUCCAAAAGCAAUCCCAACCCAGAUUCCAAAACCACCCCUAACAAUGGAGUCCAUAGGUGUCCUCCUACCAAUCCCAAUGUCCCCUUACUUGGAACAAGAGCUCGAGAAGCGCUUCAACCUCUUGAAGCUUUGGACCGCUCCCCACAAGACCCAGUUCAUCAAGGACCACGCCGCCUCCAUCCGCGCCAUCGUCGGCAACGCCUCCGCCGGCGCCGACGCCGAGUUGAUCGACUCUCUGCCCAAGUUGGAGAUCGUCGCCAGUUACAGCGUUGGGAUUGACAAGGUCGACUUGAAGUACUGCAAGGAAAAGGGUGUGAGGGUCACUAACACCCCCGACGUGUUGACCGAUGACGUGGCCGACAUUGCUAUUGGGUUGACUCUGGCGGUGAUGCGCCGGCUUUGCGAGAGUGACCGGUAUGUCAGGAGUGGGCUGUGGAAGAAGGGUGACUACAAGUUGACCACAAAGGUUUCAUUUUUCUCUUUUCUUGAUCACUGUUUUAUUGGUUGUUGUUGGUUAUGAGUUCAAUUGGGUUGUUUGCUUUGCUUGUUUGGUUAGUGUACUUCUGUAGUAUUAUCGCUUUGCUGUUUAGUUGUUGGGUCUAUUGGAAUACCAAGAUAAUGAUUCAGGUGAAAAGUUUACCUAUUGUUGUCUCAAAUCAGUACUCAGUGGCAAGUUUGCUCAGUGAAUAUGUCUCCGUUGCUGUUCAGAUGAGAGGAUUGUGCGCUCUUUUCUGUAGUGUAUGAGGAAGAGAAUGCAAAAUCAUAUCAGGGUAGUUGUUUUUUUUUUUUUUUUUUUUUCUGUUCUCUGUGCAAAGGUAGAUCGAUAUUUUUUGAACAGUGCAUUUCUCUAGUAAUUGUGCUCUUCUGUGUGUUGCUACUGUUAUGGAGCUUUAGUGCUGAAUAGUUUGUGUAAAUGUUUCCGCACUUCUGCCUUUCAUGGAGAAAAAUGUUGCACAUUCGGAAUCUAGGACCUUUGGAACUUUUCUUUUAGCUGCUUUUGUGCUAAAUAAGAUGGAAAUGGAACCAUAAGAUGGAAAGCUUUAAGAUUAAAAUUUCAGGACGCCCAAGGUGUUAUUUGUAUAUUUUAAGUGUAAUAUAUUUCUGACAGAUAUUAGUAUGAUAUCUUGAUGGUUUCCGAUUACUAGCCUUUGAUUAUGCCUGCCAGUUGAAUAUUUGCUAUAGGAACUGACUUAAUUCGACAUAGUUGUAGCUUUAAUAUGAAAUGUCAAGUUCAUCAUUUGACAUGCAUUUUUUUUCUUUCUUUUUCUAAACCCUUCUGUAUUCCUGGUAUAGAUUGUGGAGGCCCUUUUGUAAUAGUUCUUCUUUUAUUUCAGUUCACCGGAAAAACAGUCGGUAUCAUCGGUUUGGGAAGAAUUGGCAAAGCUAUUGCCAAGAGAGCUGAGGCUUUUAGCUGCCCCAUUGCCUACUUUACAAGAACAGAAAAACCAGAUUUAAAGUACAAGUAUUAUCCUACUGUUGUGGAAUUGGCAUCCCACUGUGAUGUUCUAGUUGUUGCAUGCCCACUUACUGAAGAAACCCACCAUGUUAUCAAUCGUGAAGUCAUUGAUGCUUUGGGGCCAAAGGGUGUUCUCAUUAACAUUGGGAGGGGUCCUCAUGUUGAUGAACCUGAGUUGGUAUCUGCACUGCUAGAAGGCCGAUUAGGUGGAGCUGGCCUCGAUGUGUAUCAGAAUGAACCGAAUGUACCGGAGCAGCUGUUUGGACUUGAAAAUGUGGUGCUCUUGCCUCAUGUAGGAAGUGCCACUACAGAAACUCGC
RNAcentral lists this long non-coding RNA (8564 nucleotides) under Fragaria vesca (wild strawberry). RNAcentral describes it as "long non-coding RNA (FVES_LNC002901)". The record is from RNAcentral. Lineage: Eukaryota; Viridiplantae; Streptophyta; Magnoliopsida; Rosales; Rosaceae.